Molecule: long non-coding RNA, 2087 nt
Organism: Amphiprion ocellaris (clown anemonefish)
Lineage: Eukaryota; Metazoa; Chordata; Actinopteri; Pomacentridae
Source: Ensembl
UGAAGACCCGUCCGUCUCCAGGAGUGACACGAGGAGUAAAGUCCAACCUCUGACCACCAGAAAAUAAUGAGCACAGUCCUGUUACUUAUGCAGCAUGUUUAUGUGUUCAGAUUCUUACCAUGACACCUGCUGUAUCAUGUGACAACAGUAUUGCAUCGUGGAGGUCGUCUGUCACUCUGGGUUCAUCUAAUGAUGGCUGGCACAGUUCAGUUUUUCUUUUUUUUUUUAAGUAUUGACACAAUUUAAGUUUCAGCUGGUUUGCAUCAUUCCAAAAAACACCUUUUAGUUGAGCAUCAGCAGCCAUGUCAAGGUGUGUUUUUUUCUUUUCUCAUUUCAGGCAUGAUAUGUGACAGAUAGAUACUUUAUUCAUCCCUCUGGGGAAAUUCAAGGAAUCCAACAGCUCACACGUUACAUUAAAGAUAAGGGGGAAAAAUGUACAAAGGAACGUGCAAAUCGUGCUGGUCAAAGAAAUAGAGAUAGAAAGAAGGUGCCAAAAAAUACUGGUAUUUACAAAAAAGGUGCAAAAUUGUCGCUAUUUACUAUAAGGUAUGAAAUUGCUGAUAAUAUUGCUGAUAUAUGAAUUGUUCUGUUAAAAUUUAAAGCAAAAAACAGACAUCAGAAAUGGAUUUUUAUUCAAAAUUACUGAUGAAAUUUAAUUUACUCUUAGAAAAUUUCUGAAGGAGCUCAGAAGCUGUCCACUAAUGUUUGGUGCUCAACAAAUCAGAAGCAAAUAAAAAUGAAGGCUAAAAGGCACAAAAUGUUCUGUUUUAAAUGAAUGCUCUUGGAAACUUCUAAUUGCUAGUAUUACUUUGUGUUUUCUGAAUGAAUAGUUUUGAAAAGCCUAGAACUGCUACCACUAAAAUAAGAAAUGGAAGGACGGACAGCUGAAGUCUGCUGUCAUCAACAUUUUUCCUCUAACAACCAUGAGUGUCAUGCAGAAGAGUCCGCAUAUAAACACGCAGACGGACAUCUUGCAUGUGACCUUCACCGGCUAUAAAUCGAACUUCAAGAGAGAGGGCAAUGCCCAGAGCAGGAUGUGAAAGCAAACGUCUCCCUUUAAAAGCUGCCAGCCAGAGUCGAACAGAGGGAAGGAAUGUUCUAGGGCCUUAACAAAACCAGAUGCCCCGGCUUACUCUGCCUUGCACACAUGCUUCGUGCUGCCUUCUCUCGCUCCUCUCAUUCCUGCUUAACACCACAGAUGGAACCAAGAACUGGGCAGACUCUUCUCCUCAGCCAGUCUAAAGUACACCGUCUACCUUUUACUGGCUCCUAGGUCUAUCUGUGCCCCAAUCUCCUUAUCUUCUUGUCUGCUCCUCUUUACCUCUGAGUCAUUAUGCUUGGCAGACCUUUUCCUCAUCCUCCUUCACUUCAGUGAAGACGCGCACAAACAUGGGAAACUCCGACACGGGAUUAUUCCACUCUCUUUCCGUACAUCCUCUCCAAGUAGCACUGCCAGUACCUUGCAUUAAUGCGUCAUAACGUUGCAUCUAAGGGUCACGCCUUGACCUUCCGUGCUGUGUAGGUUUGUUUCAGGUCAGGGGCUCAGCAGCCUGAGCCCCUCCCAGAGAGUUGGCCUGUGAGUGCAUUAAGAGAUUGCAGAAAGGAGGGAUGCACGAGGAGAAGCAGCUGCAGGGAGAUGAAUCCACCUGACCCAGCAGGAUGGGACCACUUUGCUUUCUGGUAGGACGUAUUUGAAAGCAAUGUGUGCAUCCAUCCACCACCCUUUCCUCUCUAUCCCAUUCAGAUGAAACCAGCCUGUGCUACUAGACCUGGGUGGCCUGUACCUGCGCCAGAUGUUUUGCCAGCUGUGGCGGACCAAAGAACUACAGACUCUUCACAACCUGCUCAAACUCUUGGUACAGGACCUCACCACACGGGUCAAGAAGGUUUCUGUCUCAUUUCUACUCUGAAGCUCACCUUCUCCUGCUCAAACUGCUGACAAAUGUUUCUGCUGCUCUAAAGUCUGGUCUCCAGAACUUCCUAAAAACUCUCAAAGUCUCUUCUGCUGCAGGUUGCUUUGUAGAACUGUUCCAGAAAACCUCACUAAACCACAUGGAGGGGCCUCAAGAUAGUCGUCCAAAUGAAAC